UAAAAAGUAAGCUAAAUUCAUAAGCUUUUGGGUUCAUACCUCAAAUAUAGAAACUUCUCUUUUUAA
RNAcentral lists this transfer RNA (66 nucleotides) under Lachesilla sp. LaspMLY. RNAcentral describes it as "tRNA-Met". Lineage: Eukaryota; Metazoa; Arthropoda; Insecta; Psocodea; Lachesillidae. The record is from RNAcentral.